GACGAACGCUGGCGGCGUGCUCAACACAUGCAAGUCGAACGGAAAGGCCCUGCUUUUGUGGGGUGCUCGAGUGGCGAACGGGUGGGUAACACGUGAGUAACCUGCCCUUGACUUUGGGAUAACUUCAGGAAACUGGGGCUAAUACCGGAUAGGAGCUCCUGCUGCAUGGUGGGGGUUGGAAAGUUUCGGCGGUUGGGGAUGGACUCGCGGCUUAUCAGCUUGUUGGUGGGGUAGUGGCUUACCAAGGCUUUGACGGGUAGCCGGCCUGAGAGGGUGACCGGCCACAUUGGGACUGAGAUACGGCCCAGACUCCUACGGGAGGCAGCAGUGGGGAAUAUUGCACAAUGGGCGGAAGCCUGAUGCAGCAACGCCGCGUGCGGGAUGACGGCCUUCGGGUUGUAAACCGCUUUCGCCUGUGACGAAGCGUGAGUGACGGUAAUGGGUAAAGAAGCACCGGCUAACUACGUGCCAGCAGCCGCGGUGAUACGUAGGGUGCGAGCGUUGUCCGGAUUUAUUGGGCGUAAAGGGCUCGUAGGUGGUUGAUCGCGUCGGAAGUGUAAUCUUGGGGCUUAACCCUGAGCGUGCUUUCGAUACGGGUUGACUUGAGGAAGGUAGGGGAGAAUGGAAUUCCUGGUGGAGCGGUGGAAUGCGCAGAUAUCAGGAGGAACACCAGUGGCGAAGGCGGUUCUCUGGGCCUUUCCUGACGCUGAGGAGCGAAAGCGUGGGGAGCGAACAGGCUUAGAUACCCUGGUAGUCCACGCUGUAAACGGUGGGUACUAGGUGUGGGGUCCAUUCCACGGGUUCCGUGCCGUAGCUAACGCUUUAAGUACCCCGCCUGGGGAGUACGGCCGCAAGGCUAAAACUCAAAGGAAUUGACGGGGCCCCGCACAAGCGGCGGAGCAUGCGGAUUAAUUCGAUGCAACGCGUAGAACCUUACCUGGGUUUGACAUGGAUCGGGAGUGCUCAGAGAUGGGUGUGCCUCUUUUGGGGUCGGUUCACAGGUGGUGCAUGGCUGUCGUCAGCUCGUGUCGUGAGAUGUUGGGUUAAGUCCCGCAACGAGCGCAACCCUUGUUCACUGUUGCCAGCACGUUAUGGUGGGGACUCAGUGGAGACCGCCGGGGUCAACUCGGAGGAAGGUGGGGAUGACGUCAAGUCAUCAUGCCCCUUAUGUCCAGGGCUUCACGCAUGCUACAAUGGCUGGUACAGAGAGUGGCGAGCCUGUGAGGGUGAGCGAAUCUCGGAAAGCCGGUCUCAGUUCGGAUUGGGGUCUGCAACUCGACCUCAUGAAGUCGGAGUCGCUAGUAAUCGCAGAUCAGCAACGCUGCGGUGAAUACGUUCCCGGGGCU
This 1346-nucleotide ribosomal RNA is filed under the name uncultured bacterium. RNAcentral's name for it is "partial 16S ribosomal RNA". It matches the Rfam family "Bacterial small subunit ribosomal RNA", at positions 28 to 1381 of the family's 1533-position model. The record is from RNAcentral.